RNAcentral lists this ribosomal RNA (439 nucleotides) under uncultured soil bacterium. RNAcentral's name for it is "bacterial SSU rRNA". It matches the Rfam family "Bacterial small subunit ribosomal RNA", at positions 26 to 459 of the family's 1533-position model. The record is from RNAcentral.
AGAGUGAACGCUGGCGGUAGGCCUAACACAUGCAAGUCGAACGGCAGCACAGGAGAGCUUGCUCUCUGGGUGGCGAGUGGCGGACGGGUGAGGAAUACAUCGGAAUCUACCUUUUCGUGGGGGAUAACGUAGGGAAACUUACGCUAAUACCGCAUAAGACCUUCGGGUGAAAGCCGGGGACCUUCGGGCCUGGCGCGGAUAGAUGAGCCGAUGUCGGAUUAGCUUGUUGGCGGGUAAAGGCCCACCAAGGCGACGAUCCGUAGCUGGUCUGAGAGGAUGAUCAGCCACGACUGGAACUGAGACACGGUCCAGACUCCUACGGGAGCAGUCAGUGGGAAUAUUGGACAAUGGGCGCAAGCCUGAUCCAGCCAUACCGCGUGGGUGAAGAAGGUCCGUUAGGUUGUAAACGUCCCUUUUAGUUGGAAAAGUAAAUCCGUAG